This 189-nucleotide non-coding RNA is filed under the name uncultured Eisenbergiella sp. The record is from RNAcentral. Lineage: Bacteria; Bacillati; Bacillota; Clostridia; Lachnospirales; Lachnospiraceae.
CAUCGCGAGAUGGGAUCUGAAGGAAGCUGGAUGUGGGGAACUUACUAACCCACGGGCAAACCUCUGGUCUGACGAACAGGAAACGUAUAUAAGGCUGUACAUGAGGGUAAGUUUGCUCGCCAAGAUAAAGCCCAAUAGCUGCACGGAAUCAUGUGCGGUAAAUACGGCAGAUGGAUGGAGGAAAAGAAA